GACGGACGGUGCAAGCGUUGCUCGGAAUCACUGGGCGUAAAGGGUGCGUAGGCGGCCGUGCAAGUCUGGCGUGAAAGCCCCGGGCUCAGCCCGGGAAGUGCGCUCGAAACUGCGCGGCUCGAGUGCCGGAGGGGAGAGUGGAAUUCCAGGUGUAGCGGUGAAAUGCGUAGAUAUCUGGAGGAACACCGGUGGCGAAGGCGGCAUCCUGGACCAUGACUGACGCUGAGGAGCGAAAGCCAGGGGAGCAAACGGG
Molecule: ribosomal RNA, 253 nt
Filed under: uncultured bacterium
Lineage: Bacteria
Description: partial 16S ribosomal RNA
Rfam family: Bacterial small subunit ribosomal RNA
Source: RNAcentral